AGCUUUCUGAAUCCACGUAGAGAUUUCGUCGGUUGCCAAAUCAUUAGGGCUGAUGGGACUUCCAAGAUAAGUGGAGUU
Non-coding RNA from Schistosoma rodhaini, 78 nucleotides. NCBI's taxonomy places the organism in Eukaryota, Metazoa, Platyhelminthes, Trematoda, Strigeidida, Schistosomatidae. The record is from Rfam.